RNAcentral lists this ribosomal RNA (2906 nucleotides) under Citrobacter freundii. RNAcentral describes it as "23S ribosomal RNA". It matches the Rfam family "Bacterial large subunit ribosomal RNA". The record is from RNAcentral. Lineage: Bacteria; Pseudomonadati; Pseudomonadota; Gammaproteobacteria; Enterobacterales; Enterobacteriaceae.
GGUUAAGCGACUAAGCGUACACGGUGGAUGCCCUGGCAGUCAGAGGCGAUGAAGGACGUGCUAAUCUGCGAUAAGCGUCGGUAAGGUGAUAUGAACCGUUAUAACCGGCGAUUUCCGAAUGGGGAAACCCAGUGUGAUUCGUCACACUAUCAUUACGUGAAUACAUAGCGUAAUGAAGCGAACCGGGGGAACUGAAACAUCUAAGUACCCCGAGGAAAAGAAAUCAACCGAGAUUCCCCCAGUAGCGGCGAGCGAACGGGGAGCAGCCCAGAGUCUGAAUCAGCUUGUGUGUUAGUGGAACGGUCUGGAAAGUCCGACGGUACAGGGUGAUAGUCCCGUACACCAAAAUGCACAGGUUGUGAACUCGAAGAGUAGGGCGGGACACGUGGUAUCCUGUCUGAAUAUGGGGGGACCAUCCUCCAAGGCUAAAUACUCCUGACUGACCGAUAGUGAACCAGUACCGUGAGGGAAAGGCGAAAAGAACCCCGGCGAGGGGAGUGAAAAAGAACCUGAAACCGUGUACGUACAAGCAGUGGGAGCCUCUUUAUGGGGUGACUGCGUACCUUUUGUAUAAUGGGUCAGCGACUUAUAUUCUGUAGCAAGGUUAACCGUAUAGGGGAGCCGAAGGGAAACCGAGUCUUAACUGGGCGUUAAGUUGCAGGGUAUAGACCCGAAACCCGGUGAUCUAGCCAUGGGCAGGUUGAAGGUUGGGUAACACUAACUGGAGGACCGAACCGACUAAUGUUGAAAAAUUAGCGGAUGACUUGUGGCUGGGGGUGAAAGGCCAAUCAAACCGGGAGAUAGCUGGUUCUCCCCGAAAGCUAUUUAGGUAGCGCCUCGUGAAUUCAUCUUCGGGGGUAGAGCACUGUUUCGGCUAGGGGGUCAUCCCGACUUACCAACCCGAUGCAAACUGCGAAUACCGAAGAAUGUUAUCACGGGAGACACACGGCGGGUGCUAACGUCCGUCGUGAAGAGGGAAACAACCCAGACCGCCAGCUAAGGUCCCAAAGUCAUGGUUAAGUGGGAAACGAUGUGGGAAGGCACAGACAGCCAGGAUGUUGGCUUAGAAGCAGCCAUCAUUUAAAGAAAGCGUAAUAGCUCACUGGUCGAGUCGGCCUGCGCGGAAGAUGUAACGGGGCUAAACCAUGCACCGAAGCUGCGGCAGCGACACUAUGUGUUGUUGGGUAGGGGAGCGUUCUGUAAGCCGUUGAAGGUGGCCUGUGAGGGUUGCUGGAGGUAUCAGAAGUGCGAAUGCUGACAUAAGUAACGAUAAUGCGGGUGAAAAACCCGCACGCCGGAAGACCAAGGGUUCCUGUCCAACGUUAAUCGGGGCAGGGUGAGUCGACCCCUAAGGCGAGGCCGAAAGGCGUAGUCGAUGGGAAACAGGUUAAUAUUCCUGUACUUGGUGUUACUGCGAAGGGGGGACGGAGAAGGCUAUGUUAGCCGGGCGACGGUUGUCCCGGUUUAAGCAUGUAGGCGGAGGUUCCAGGUAAAUCCGGUACCUUUUAACGCUGAGGUGUGAUGACGAGGCACUACGGUGCUGAAGUAACAAAUGCCCUGCUUCCAGGAAAAGCCUCUAAGCAUCAGGUAACACGAAAUCGUACCCCAAACCGACACAGGUGGUCAGGUAGAGAAUACCAAGGCGCUUGAGAGAACUCGGGUGAAGGAACUAGGCAAAAUGGUGCCGUAACUUCGGGAGAAGGCACGCUGAUAUGUAGGUGAAGUGAUUUACUCAUGGAGCUGAAAUCAGUCGAAGAUACCAGCUGGCUGCAACUGUUUAUUAAAAACACAGCACUGUGCAAACACGAAAGUGGACGUAUACGGUGUGACGCCUGCCCGGUGCCGGAAGGUUAAUUGAUGGGGUUAUCCGUAAGGAGAAGCUCUUGAUCGAAGCCCCGGUAAACGGCGGCCGUAACUAUAACGGUCCUAAGGUAGCGAAAUUCCUUGUCGGGUAAGUUCCGACCUGCACGAAUGGCGUAAUGAUGGCCAGGCUGUCUCCACCCGAGACUCAGUGAAAUUGAACUCGCUGUGAAGAUGCAGUGUACCCGCGGCAAGACGGAAAGACCCCGUGAACCUUUACUAUAGCUUGACACUGAACACUGGUCCUUGAUGUGUAGGAUAGGUGGGAGGCUUUGAAGUGUGGACGCCAGUCUGCAUGGAGCCAUCCUUGAAAUACCACCCUUUAAUGGCUGGUGUUCUAACGUGGACCCGUAAUCCGGGUUGCGGACAGUGUCUGGUGGGUAGUUUGACUGGGGCGGUCUCCUCCUAAAGAGUAACGGAGGAGCACGAAGGUUAGCUAAUCCUGGUCGGACAUCAGGAGGUUAGUGCAAAGGCAUAAGCUAGCUUGACUGCGAGAGUGACGGCUCGAGCAGGUGCGAAAGCAGGUCUUAGUGAUCCGGUGGUUCUGAAUGGAAGGGCCAUCGCUCAACGGAUAAAAGGUACUCCGGGGAUAACAGGCUGAUACCGCCCAAGAGUUCAUAUCGACGGCGGUGUUUGGCACCUCGAUGUCGGCUCAUCACAUCCUGGGGCUGAAGUAGGUCCCAAGGGUAUGGCUGUUCGCCAUUUAAAGUGGUACGCGAGCUGGGUUUAGAACGUCGUGAGACAGUUCGGUCCCUAUCUGCCGUGGGCGCUGGAGAAUUGAGGGGGGCUGCUCCUAGUACGAGAGGACCGGAGUGGACGCAUCACUGGUGUUCGGGUUGUCAUGCCAAUGGCAUUGCCCGGUAGCUAAAUGCGGAAGAGAUAAGUGCUGAAAGCAUCUAAGCACGAAACUUGCCCCGAGAUGAGUUCUCCCUGAGACUUUAAGUCUCCUGAAGGAACGUUAAAGACGAUGACGUUGAUAGGUCGGGUGUGUAAGUGUAGCGAUACAUUGAGCUAACCGAUACUAAUGAACCGUGAGGCUUAACCUU